RNAcentral lists this unclassified non-coding RNA (264 nucleotides) under Hevea brasiliensis (rubber tree). The record is from RNAcentral. Lineage: Eukaryota; Viridiplantae; Streptophyta; Magnoliopsida; Malpighiales; Euphorbiaceae.
AUAAGAUCAGUGUGUACAGUGCGCCACUCGCCCCGCAAGAUGUAGAUCCUCUGUCGAUAAUCUCCGCGAUCUGGCCGAAGGUAACGCAGGGGCAGAAGCAAGUCAUGCAGCAGUUGCUAAAGUCGUCGCAGCAGUCGCAGAGGCCGCUGGACCACGGCACCCGCCCCUGUGAUUCGGUCUCGAACACGGCAUGGUUGUUGAACUGGUUGAUGGAGCUCAACGGGACGCCGGUUGCCGCUGGGGCUGGGAAGCCGCUGGGUUUGG